GGAGAGGUCGCAUAGAGGCCUAGUGCGGCGGUUUGCUAAACCGCUAAGGGGUUUUGCUCCUUCGAGGGUUCGAAUCCCUCCCUCUCCGCCA
This 91-nucleotide transfer RNA is filed under the name Chloroflexota bacterium. RNAcentral's name for it is "tRNA-Ser". It matches the Rfam family "tRNA". From Rfam's summary of the family: Transfer RNA (tRNA) molecules are approximately 80 nucleotides in length. Their secondary structure includes four short double-helical elements and three loops (D, anti-codon, and T loops). Further hydrogen bonds mediate the characteristic L-shaped molecular structure. tRNAs have two regions of fundamental functional importance: the anti-codon, which is responsible for specific mRNA codon recognition, and the 3' end, to which the tRNAs corresponding amino acid is attached (by aminoacyl-tRNA synthetases). tRNAs cope with the degeneracy of the genetic code in two manners: having more than one tRNA (with a specific anti-codon) for a particular amino acid; and 'wobble' base-pairing, i.e. permitting non-standard base-pairing at the 3rd anti-codon position. Lineage: Bacteria; Bacillati; Chloroflexota. The record is from RNAcentral.